RNAcentral lists this ribosomal RNA (467 nucleotides) under uncultured bacterium. RNAcentral describes it as "bacterial SSU rRNA". It matches the Rfam family "Bacterial small subunit ribosomal RNA", at positions 917 to 1382 of the family's 1533-position model. The record is from RNAcentral.
GGACCCGCACAAGCAGCGGAGCAUGUGGUUUAAUUCGAAGCAACGCGAAGAACCUUACCAAGGCUUGACAUCCCCUUGACAGGUACAGAGAUGUACAAUCAUUUUCGAAUGCAAGGGAGACAGGUGGUGCAUGGUUGUCGUCAGCUCGUGUCGUGAGAUGUUGGGUUAAGUCCCGCAACGAGCGCAACCCUUAUCCUUAGUUGCCAGCACAUAUGGUGGGCACUCUAAGGAGACUGCCGGUGAUAAACCGGAGGAAGGUGGGGAUGACGUCAAAUCAUCAUGCCCCUUAUGUCUUGGGCUACACACGUGCUACAAUGGUCGGUACAACGGGAAGCGAAGAAGUGAUUUGGAGCAAAUCCCAAUAAACCGAUCCCAGUUCGGAUUGCAGGCUGCAACUCGCCUGCAUGAAGUCGGAGUUGCUAGUAAUCGCGAAUCAGAACGUCGCGGUGAAUGCGUUCCCGGGUCUU